Molecule: long non-coding RNA, 325 nt
Organism: Macrosteles quadrilineatus (aster leafhopper)
Lineage: Eukaryota; Metazoa; Arthropoda; Insecta; Hemiptera; Cicadellidae
Exons: 2
Source: RefSeq, a predicted model, not a curated record
CAAAUUGAAUUUUGUAAAUAGUAGCUAGUAGGUAAUAAUAAUAUUUUCGGAAUUGGCGCUCUUUAGUAAAUGUAACAAAAAUAAAAGCUUAAAUCCUAAAAGUUAUUAAGUAGCUUCAUUGUAGGCAUGGUAUGCGAGUGGUACAUGGAUGAGGUGUCUGUGGUUGAAUACUACUUGCUUCUUAUUCUUCUCAUCCUUCCAGUGAAGCUCUUCUUCGACUUAUGGGCAUGGCUUGGAUGGGAACUCUUCAAAAACAACUAGUCAAUAAUGCCAAAUUUUAUAAUAGUUCUUACCUGUACCAAAAUAAAACGCUUAAAUACUGUUA